GAUGAACGCUGGCGGCGUGCCUAAUACAUGCAAGUCGAGCGAACAGAGGAGGAGCUUGCUCCUCUGACGUUAGCGGCGGACGGGUGAGUAACACGUGGAUAACCUACCUAUAAGACUGGGAUAACUUCGGGAAACCGGAGCUAAUACCGGAUAAUAUAUUGAACCGCAUGGUUCAAUAGUGAAAGACGGUUUUGCUGUCACUUAUAGAUGGAUCCGCGCCGCAUUAGCUAGUUGGUAAGGUAACGGCUUACCAAGGCGACGAUGCGUAGCCGACCUGAGAGGGUGAUCGGCCACACUGGAACUGAGACACGGUCCAGACUCCUACGGGAGGCAGCAGUAGGGAAUCUUCCGCAAUGGGCGAAAGCCUGACGGAGCAACGCCGCGUGAGUGAUGAAGGUCUUCGGAUCGUAAAACUCUGUUAUUAGGGAAGAACAAAUGUGUAAGUAACUAUGCACGUCUUGACGGUACCUAAUCAGAAAGCCACGGCUAACUACGUG
Molecule: ribosomal RNA, 497 nt
Filed under: uncultured bacterium
Lineage: Bacteria
Description: partial 16S ribosomal RNA
Rfam family: Bacterial small subunit ribosomal RNA
Source: RNAcentral